Molecule: non-coding RNA, 28 nt
Filed under: Callithrix jacchus (white-tufted-ear marmoset)
Lineage: Eukaryota; Metazoa; Chordata; Mammalia; Primates; Cebidae
Also listed under: 4 other names
Source: RNAcentral
CUUCUCACUACUGCACUUGACUAGUCUU